RNAcentral lists this ribosomal RNA (466 nucleotides) under uncultured bacterium. Its description in RNAcentral is "partial 16S ribosomal RNA". It matches the Rfam family "Bacterial small subunit ribosomal RNA", at positions 28 to 507 of the family's 1533-position model. The record is from RNAcentral.
GAUGAACGCUGGCGGCGUGCUUAACACAUGCAAGUCGAACGAUGAAGCCCAGCUUGCUGGGUGGAUUAGUGGCGAACGGGUGAGUAACACGUGAGUAACCUGCCCUUAACUCUGGGAUAAGCCUGGGAAACUGGGUCUAAUACCGGAUAGGAGCGUCCACCGCAUGGUGGGUGUUGGAAAGAUUUAUCGGUUUUGGAUGGACUCGCGGCCUAUCAGCUUGUUGGUGAGGUAAUGGCUCACUAAGGCGACGCCGGGUAGCCGGCCUGAGAGGGUGACCGGCCACACUGGGACUGAGACACGGCCCAGACUCCUACGGGAGGCAGCAGUGGGGAAUAUUGCACAAUGGGCGCAAGCCUGAUGCAGAGACGCCGCGUGAGGGAUGACGGCCUUCGGGUUGUAAACCUCUUUCAGUAGGGAAGAAGCGAAAGUGACGGUACCUGCAGAAGAAGCACCGGCUAACUACGUG